GGGGAUGUCAAAGCUAAAAAUCUUUCGGAAUCAUGUUGUGUUGUAUUGUGAUUCACAUUGGUUUUUAAUUUCAAUCGUUUUUAAGAUGAAAUCAUUAUUUUUAAUUCAUUAAAGUCAGUUGGAAUAAAAGCAUCUACUACAGCCGGUGGAAACUGUCGUUCAUGUUUCCGGAAGAUUCAACAAAAAUUUGAACAAAGAUGCGGUCAACUAGCAGGAUCCGGAAGACCGAAAGCCAAAAAUAUGCCGGGGAAAAGUUUGUUGUUCGUUCGAGCUUCGGAAAUUGAAUACGAAAAGUAACAUUACAUCUGGUGUGGUGCUAUCCAAUCUGCAUCAGAGUAAAACCAAGGGAAUAUGAGUUUUGGUUAUUCAAGCGCUGCCGUGAGACGCCGCCGGCUGUUUCCGUUGAAUUUGUGUUUUAUCAGUAUCUGCUUUGUACAAUGAAAGUGAAGGCAGCUGAGGCUCCCUCCACCACCAAGAAGCAGGACGAAGAUCAGCUCCAUUCCAUUACGGCAAGCAGAACCAUUCCCGAUUCAAGUAUGAAGAGGAA
Molecule: long non-coding RNA, 547 nt
Organism: Uranotaenia lowii
Lineage: Eukaryota; Metazoa; Arthropoda; Insecta; Diptera; Culicidae
Exons: 4
Source: RefSeq, a predicted model, not a curated record